UACGAAGGGGGCUAGGCGUUGCUCGGAAUCACUGGCGUGAAGCAGCACGUAGGCGGAUUGCUAAGUCAGGGGUGAAAUCCUGGAGCUCAACUCCAGAACUGCCUUUGAUACUGGCGAUCUUGAGUCCGGGAGAGGUGAGUGGAACUGCGAGUGUAGAGGUGAAAUUCGUAGAUAUUCGCAAGAACACCAGUGGCGAAGGCGGCUCACUGGCCCGAUACUGACGCUGAGGUGCGAAAGCGUGGGAGCAACAGG
This 252-nucleotide ribosomal RNA is filed under the name uncultured bacterium. Its description in RNAcentral is "partial 16S ribosomal RNA". It matches the Rfam family "Bacterial small subunit ribosomal RNA", at positions 524 to 776 of the family's 1533-position model. The record is from RNAcentral.